GACGAACCGAGCAAACGUUAUUCGGAAUCACUGGGCUUAAAGGGCGCGUAGGCGGGCAUCCAAGUCGGGGGUGAAAUCCGGCAGCUUAACUGUCGAACUGCCGUGGAUACUGGGUGUCUCGAGGGAGGUAGGGGCGUGCGGAACUUUUGGUGGAGCGGUGAAAUGCGUUGAUAUCAAUAGGAACUCCGGUGGCGAAGGCGGCACGCUGGACCUCUUCUGACGCUGAGGCGCGAAAGCCAGGGGAGCAAACGGG
This 253-nucleotide ribosomal RNA is filed under the name uncultured bacterium. Its description in RNAcentral is "partial 16S ribosomal RNA". It matches the Rfam family "Bacterial small subunit ribosomal RNA", at positions 524 to 776 of the family's 1533-position model. The record is from RNAcentral.